Gallus gallus (chicken) is the source of this 1216-nucleotide long non-coding RNA. NCBI's taxonomy places the organism in Eukaryota, Metazoa, Chordata, Aves, Galliformes, Phasianidae. The record is from Ensembl.
GCGGGCAGCAGCUUGAAUUGCACAGAAAACAGGCAAAAGAAGUGGGAGACAACAGAAGAAAAAUGAUAACCCAUGGGAUUGCUGGGGGUAUGAAUUGAGGAAUGAUUACAGUGACCUGCAAGGUCCUUAGAAAAUAUAUAUAAUAAAGCAGGAAUGGGUCAGCAGAGGAGUUGACCUUUUCACCCAGUGGAUAGGAUGCAGUCAGCCCAAAGCUCAGCUCGUUUUCCUUAAGUUUAGGUUUGGAUUUUGCCUCUUGCUUCUACUUGAUGCAUUAGACUCUGUCACUAAGACUGAAUUAUUAAAGUCGCUUGAGGAACUGCGUUAAUUGAUGGGGUAAGUUGGGAAGGGAUGGAGAGAGGGUUGCAAUUAUUCCAUCAGAUUGUGAAGAAUCGCAGACGGGAGCAGUAGGAAAUGUAGGCCUCCCCUUUGAAUAAUUUAAAAGCCUCAAUGGCCAAAAAAAGAGAAGCUGAUGGUGGAUGAUGAACUGGGUGGGAACAGCCCUUCAGGAGAGAAGUGGCAUCCCGUGUUCUGAUGGAGUAUUUAAUCUGAGAAUGCAGGAGCAUUACGUUGAGAUUUGCCAUCAGGAAACUGAGUGAGGAUGGGAAGUUGGCCGCUGGGGAGCAGCGUUGGGGAUGAGUGCCUUUGUACCACACUGCUAACAAUGCUUCUGAACCAGAGGUUGUGCAGUGAGGGGUAAUGAAAUGAAGAAACGAAACCCCUUUCAAAGUGUAGUUGUAGUGGCAAACAUGGGCGUUAUCCCUGAGCAUUUGGAGCCAUGAGCAAAGUGCUUGGCCAGGCUGAGGAACUGGGUGUGCUGGAGAGCAGCAUCUCAGCAUAAACCUUAAGAUUGUUGCAUCUCAUAGCUGAGGUGUUUUGGUUCUUUUUUCCCUCGUUUGCACCUGUGUAUUUUGAACUGAUGGUAGGACGAGGUUUUGGUUGUUUCUUUUUGUAUUGGGAGUUCCCUGCUGCUGGCUCUGUUGGUUGCUGCAUUGCAGUUUGUGCCCUCGCUUCCUUUCUUUCCUGCUAACUUUUCUCGCUCCUCCAGGCAGGUGGUGCUGGCAGAAUUAUUGCUGAUAGCUGAAUUUUUGCCAACCAACAAAACGCUCGACAAAAAUAGCAGAACAGGAUGUAGGGUUUGUUGGUGGUGGGAGUGCUGUGGCUCCAUCACUUGUUGGGUCUCACCCUUCUGCCCUACAGCACGGAGACAGCAAACUUG